AGAGUUUGAUCAUGGCUCAGGACGAACGCUGGCGGCGUGCCUAACACAUGCAAGUCGAACGGUUCUGUCGUCGGUCAUCAGACGUCAGACGUCAGAUUAGAAGGAAUUCGCGUAGCGAAUUCCUAUUAAAACCUGACGACUGGUGCCUGACGACCGACGGCCGAAUAGUGGCGGACGGGUGAGUAACGCGUGGAUAACCUACCUAUAUGUCUGGGAUAACACCGGGAAACUGGUGCUAAUACCGGAUAGAGUUGCAGGUAUGCAUGUACUUGCAAGGAAAGGAGCAAUCCGCAUAUAGAUGGGUCCGCGUCCCAUUAGCUAGUUGGUGGUGUAAGGGACCACCAAGGCGACGAUGGGUAGCCGGCCUGAGAGGGUGACCGGCCACACUGGAACUGAGACACGGUCCAGACUCCUACGGGAGGCAGCAGUGGGGAAUAUUCCGCAAUGGGCGAAAGCCUGACGGAGCAACGCCGCGUGAACGAGGAAGGCCUUCGGGUUGUAAAGUUCUGUCAUCAGGGAAGAAGUAAGUGACGGUACCUGGAGAGGAAGCCCCGGCUAACUACGUGCCAGCAGCCGCGGUAAGACGUAGGGGGCGAGCGUUGUCCGGAAUUACUGGGCGUAAAGGGCGCGUAGGCGGUGAGGUAAGUCUCGAGGUGAAAACUAUCGGCUCAACCGGUAGAUGGCCUGAGAAACUGCCUUACUUGAGUGCAGGAGAGGGGAGUGGAAUUCCCAGUGUAGCGGUGAAAUGCGUAGAUAUUGGGAGGAACACCGGUGGCGAAGGCGGCUCUCUGGCCUGUAACUGACGCUGAGGCGCGAAAGCGUGGGGAGCGAACGGGAUUAGAUACCCCGGUAGUCCACGCCGUAAACGAUGGGUGCUAGGUGUAGAGGUAUCGACCCCUUCUGUGCCGUAGUAAACACAAUAAGCACCCCGCCUGGGGAGUACGGCCGCAAGGUUGAAACUCAAAUGAAUUGACGG
RNAcentral lists this ribosomal RNA (976 nucleotides) under uncultured bacterium. RNAcentral's name for it is "bacterial SSU rRNA". It matches the Rfam family "Bacterial small subunit ribosomal RNA", at positions 8 to 916 of the family's 1533-position model. The record is from RNAcentral.